UGGUGAAAUUAAGUGGAUCCUGCAAUGUC
RNAcentral lists this non-coding RNA (29 nucleotides) under Mus musculus (house mouse). The record is from RNAcentral. Lineage: Eukaryota; Metazoa; Chordata; Mammalia; Rodentia; Muridae.